ACAUUGGUAGUAUAAUUGAGUAAAUAUAUCGUCUUUCCAAGUCGAUGAUCCCUUAGGGGUCAAUGUA
Molecule: transfer RNA, 67 nt
Filed under: Cryptocotyle lingua
Lineage: Eukaryota; Metazoa; Platyhelminthes; Trematoda; Opisthorchiida; Heterophyidae
Description: tRNA-Gly
Source: RNAcentral